GACGAACGCUGGCGGCGUGCUUAACACAUGCAAGUCGAACGGAAAGGCCCUGCUUUUGUGGGGUGCUCGAGUGGCGAACGGGUGAGUAACACGUGAGUAACCUGCCCUUGACUUUGGGAUAACUUCAGGAAACUGGGGCUAAUACCGGAUAGGAGCUCCUGCUGCAUGGUGGGGGUUGGAAAGUUUCGGCGGUUGGGGAUGGACUCGCGGCUUAUCAGCUUGUUGGUGGGGUAGUGGCUUACCAAGGCUUUGACGGGUAGCCGGCCUGAGAGGGUGACCAGCCACAUUGGGACUGAGAUACGGCCCAGACUCCUACGGGAGGCAGCAGUGGGGAAUAUUGCACAAUGGGCGGAAGCCUGAUGCAGCAACGCCGCGUGCGGGAUGACGGCCUUCGGGUUGUAAACCGCUUUCGCCUGUGACGAAGCGUGAGUGACGGUAAUGGGUAAAGAAGCACCGGCUAACUACGUGCCAGCAGCCGCGGUGAUACGUAGGGUGCGAGCGUUGUCCGGAUUUAUUGGGCGUAAAGGGCUCGUAGGUGGUUGAUCGCGUCGGAAGUGUAAUCUUGGGGCUUAACCCUGAGCGUGCUUUCGAUACGGGUUGACUUGAGGAAGGUAGGGGAGAAUGGAAUUCCUGGUGGAGCGGUGGAAUGCGCAGAUAUCAGGAGGAACACCAGUGGCGAAGGCGGUUCUCUGGGCCUUUCCUGACGCUGAGGAGCGAAAGCGUGGGGAGCGAACAGGCUUAGAUACCCUGGUAGUCCACGCUGUAAACGGUGGGUACUAGGUGUGGGGUCCAUUCCACGGGUUCCGUGCCGUAGCUAACGCUUUAAGUACCCCGCCUGGGGAGUACGGCCGCAAGGCUAAAACUCAAAGGAAUUGACGGGGCCCCGCACAAGCGGCGGAGCAUGCGGAUUAAUUCGAUGCAACGCGUAGAACCUUACCUGGGUUUGACAUGGAUCGGGAGUGCUCAGAGAUGGGUGUGCCUCUUUUGGGGUCGGUUCACAGGUGGUGCAUGGCUGUCGUCAGCUCGUGUCGUGAGAUGUUGGGUUAAGUCCCGCAACGAGCGCAACCCUUGUUCACUGUUGCCAGCACGUUAUGGUGGGGACUCAGUGGAGACCGCCGGGGUCAACUCGGAGGAAGGUGGGGAUGACGUCAAGUCAUCAUGCCCCUUAUGUCCAGGGCUUCACGCAUGCUACAAUGGCUGGUACAGAGAGUGGCGAGCCUGUGAGGGUGAGCGAAUCUCGGAAAGCCGGUCUCAGUUCGGAUUGGGGUCUGCAACUCGACCUCAUGAAGUCGGAGUCGCUAGUAAUCGCAGAUCAGCAACGCUGCGGUGAAUACGUUCCCGGG
RNAcentral lists this ribosomal RNA (1343 nucleotides) under uncultured bacterium. RNAcentral's name for it is "16S ribosomal RNA". It matches the Rfam family "Bacterial small subunit ribosomal RNA", at positions 28 to 1378 of the family's 1533-position model. The record is from RNAcentral.